GGCGGAAUGGCCGAGCGGUCCAAGGCGUCAGGGUAAGGCGAGUUUAACAGACCACAAAGUCUUACCACCAUCAAUCCUGAUCUACGUAAGUAGGCGCGGGUUCAAAUCCCGUUUCCGUCA
Molecule: transfer RNA, 120 nt
Organism: Candida tropicalis MYA-3404
Lineage: Eukaryota; Fungi; Ascomycota; Pichiomycetes; Serinales; Debaryomycetaceae
Rfam family: tRNA
About the family: Transfer RNA (tRNA) molecules are approximately 80 nucleotides in length. Their secondary structure includes four short double-helical elements and three loops (D, anti-codon, and T loops). Further hydrogen bonds mediate the characteristic L-shaped molecular structure. tRNAs have two regions of fundamental functional importance: the anti-codon, which is responsible for specific mRNA codon recognition, and the 3' end, to which the tRNAs corresponding amino acid is attached (by aminoacyl-tRNA synthetases). tRNAs cope with the degeneracy of the genetic code in two manners: having more than one tRNA (with a specific anti-codon) for a particular amino acid; and 'wobble' base-pairing, i.e. permitting non-standard base-pairing at the 3rd anti-codon position.
Source: Rfam